AAAACACUCUGUACGUAGGAGGAUUAGCAGAGGAGGUGAAUGAGGCAAUACUACAUGCUGCGUUCAUACCAUUUGGGGAUAUUAAGGAUGUGAAGACCCCAUUAGAUCAUGCCACUCAAAAGCAUCGAUCUUUUGGGUUUGUGACCUUCCUUGAAAGAGAAGAUGCUUCCGCCGCCAUGGAUAAUAUGGAUGGUGCUGAGCUUUAUGGACGUGUACUUACUGUUAAUUAUGCUCUUCCUGAGAAGAUUA
RNAcentral lists this unclassified non-coding RNA (249 nucleotides) under Hevea brasiliensis (rubber tree). The record is from RNAcentral. Lineage: Eukaryota; Viridiplantae; Streptophyta; Magnoliopsida; Malpighiales; Euphorbiaceae.